Molecule: unclassified non-coding RNA, 178 nt
Filed under: soil metagenome
Description: partial internal transcribed spacer 1
Source: RNAcentral
AAAAACUUCGGCAAGAACGUGGAGCUUGUGUGUGAGACUUGUGUGCUAACUUAGACCACAAGCCCCCUCACGAGCCCUGUUUUUACGAACCCUGUGUGAACCGUAAUAUUUAUUCCAUCCACGUAAUACGAAAUUUCUAGUCUAAAGUCUCCUUCAUAUCACGAGAAUAUGAUAAAAA